UUCACCUAACAGCUAGCCUCACCUCUUAAAAAUCUAUUAUGAAAUAAGAUCAAAUUAUACAUUUAAACAAAACAUUCUAUUUCCCUAGUAUGGGCGACAGAAAAGGACCCCGAGAGCUAUAGACAAAGUACCGCAAGGGAAAGCUGAAAAAGAGAUGAAAUAGAUCUCUUAAGUUUUAUAUAGAAGAGAUUAACCCUCGUUCCUCUUGCAUCAUGAUUUAACUAGAAACACCAAGCAAAGUGACCUUUAGUUUGCUACCCCGAAACUGCGCGAGCUACUCCGAGACAGCCUUUUGGGCCUACCCGUCUCUGUGGCAAAAGAGUGGGGAGAGCUCCGAGUAGUGGUGAUAUACCUAUCGAGCCCAGUUAUAGCUGGUUGUCUGAGAAAUGAAUAGAAGUUCAGCCCUCAUAAAUUUUCCUAAUUCAAACUUCAAUUUACCUUGUAAUUUUCAGAAAAGACUUAAGGAAGUAUGAGGAGUUAGUCAAAAGAGGUUCAGCUCGUUUGACUUUGGAAACAGCCUCUUUAAGUGAUUUAAGAUCAUAAUGUUUAAGGAUACUAAUUUUAGUAGGCCUAGAAGCAGCCACCUACCCUCGAAAGCGUUAAAGCUCAAAUUAAAUCAAUCCUCACAUCCCGAACCUCCCUCUCUUUUAUCCUUAAAAAUAUCAGACUAAUUUAUUUUAUAAAAGAAAUUAUGUUAAAAUGAGUAAUAAGAAUUAUAUUCUCCUUGCACAUGUGUACCUCGGAACGGACCAGCCACCGAAUAUUAAUCAGCUCAAUAGAGGAACUUAAGGCAAUCAACUAGAAAACCCCUUAAACCUAACUGUUAACCCUACACAGGAGUGCACCAAGGAAAGACUUUAAAGGAGAAGAAGGAACUCGGCAAACCUAAGCCCCGCCUGUUUACCAAAAACAUCGCCUCUCGACUCUAUCAUGAGAGGUCCUGCCUGCCCAGUGACUAUAUGUUAAACGGCCGUGGUAUCUUAACCAUGCUAAGGUAGCGCAAUCACUUGUCUUUUAAAUGAAGACCUGUAUGAAUGGCCCCACGAGGGCUUGACUGUCUCCUUCCCCCAGUCAAUGAAAUUAAACUUCCCGUGCAGAUGCGGGAAUAUGUACAUAAGACGAGAAGACCCUUUGGAGCUUCAGACCCUAAAUAAGUUAUGUUUAAUAUUCUGCAUCCAGUAAAAACUUAAUAAUUUUAUUCAAGGGUCUUAGGUUGGGGCGACCACGGAGUAAAAUAAACCCUCCACGAAGAAGGGGCCUCUAUAAGCCCUAAAUCCCCGAUAAUCACAUCUAAGAAACAGAAUCUCUGACUUUAUUAGAUCCGGUUAAUUACCGACUAACGAACCAAGUUACCCUAGGGAUAACAGCGCAAUCCUCUCCCAGAGCCCAUAUCGACGAGGGGGUUUACGACCUCGAUGUUGGAUCAGGGCGUCCUAAUGGUGCAGCAGCUAUUAAGGGUUUGUUUGUUCAACAAUUAAAGCCCUACGUGAUCUGAGUUCAGACCGGAGAAAUCCAGGUCGGUUUCUAUCUAUGAAUUGUUUUUCCCUAGUACGAAAGGAAUGGGAAAAAAAGGUCUAUGUUAAAGACACACCUUUACCCCCACCUCUGAUAACCAAUAAAAAGGAUAAGGGAACAUGUUAAAUUUACCUAGAAGGUAGCAGAAGUUGGCAGAUUGUUGAAUAUUCUGUAGCUCCUAA
RNAcentral lists this ribosomal RNA (1697 nucleotides) under Bregmaceros nectabanus (smallscale codlet). Its description in RNAcentral is "16S rRNA". It matches the Rfam family "Bacterial large subunit ribosomal RNA". Lineage: Eukaryota; Metazoa; Chordata; Actinopteri; Gadiformes; Bregmacerotidae. The record is from RNAcentral.